GGCCCGCACAAGCGGUGGAGCAUGUGGUUUAAUUCGAUGCAACGCGAAGAACCUUACCUACUCUUGACAUCCAGAGAACUUAGCAGAGAUGCUUUGGUGCCUUCGGGAACUCUGAGACAGGUGCUGCAUGGCUGUCGUCAGCUCGUGUUGUGAAAUGUUGGGUUAAGUCCCGCAACGAGCGCAACCCUUAUCCUUUGUUGCCAGCGAUUCGGUCGGGAACUCAAAGGAGACUGCCGGUGAUAAACCGGAGGAAGGUGGGGAUGACGUCAAGUCAUCAUGGCCCUUACGAGUAGGGCUACACACGUGCUACAAUGGCGUAUACAAAGAGAAGCGACCUCGCGAGAGCAAGCGGAACUCAUAAAGUACGUCGUAGUCCGGAUUGGAGUCUGCAACUCGACUCCAUGAAGUCGGAAUCGCUAGUAAUCGUAGAUCAGAAUGCUACGGUGAAUACAUUCCCGGGCCUUGUACACACCGCCCGUCACACCAUGGGAGUGGGUUGCAAAAGAAGUAGGUAGCUUAACCUUCGGGAGGGCGCUUACCACUUUGUGAUUCAUGACUGGGGUGAAGUCGU
RNAcentral lists this ribosomal RNA (571 nucleotides) under uncultured bacterium. Its description in RNAcentral is "bacterial SSU rRNA". It matches the Rfam family "Bacterial small subunit ribosomal RNA", at positions 918 to 1489 of the family's 1533-position model. The record is from RNAcentral.